This 3084-nucleotide long non-coding RNA is filed under the name Eucalyptus grandis. Its description in RNAcentral is "long non-coding RNA (EGRA_LNC000437)". The record is from RNAcentral. Lineage: Eukaryota; Viridiplantae; Streptophyta; Magnoliopsida; Myrtales; Myrtaceae.
CAACAGUUUUGGCCGGAGCGAAGAGGAAAUCGAGAGAACGUUCGAGCCGAGCUCGAGCUUAAAAGGGGUUUUGAAAGUGAAGCACGUGGUUGAUGCUGUGGUGUUCCUAGCUUCGGAAGAUUCCGAAUUCGUGAAUGGCCAUAACCUGGCCGUCGAUGGAGGGCUUAACAUGCUUCAAUUGACUCCUCCAGCAGAAUAGGUUUCAAGUUUCCAUGUAUGCCAUAUUUUCCGCUUCGGCACAAAGAAAUAUCAUCGUAACUUGAGAAUGUUUCUCGUGAUAGGCGCUUCUAGCUGAGCUUUCUCGCGACGAACGGUCGUGGCUCUGUAAAUAUUGGACAUAAAUCGCUCUUCAUCGAUCGCAAAACUAAACCAAGAAGUUCAUGUUAACCAACUGCUGCACCAUUUCUGCGCACAGGAGAGCAAUAUCAAUUGGAGGAUUUUGAUACGGCAUAGAAUGUUUGUCGAAACAUCAGGUGCAUCAACACCAGCCAAAAUCUCCUCUGUGGAGGGUUUCGCAUAUCGUAAACCAUAAAUUUUUAAAGGGAUGGAAUGAUUUAUUAUUUUUUUACUUUGAUAAAAACCAAACCGUUACGAAGCACAUCCUAAUAUUUUCUCGAAUCGAUGUUCCGGCACCGUGAUACCUGGAGGGCCCGUGCAAUAAUUUCUCCUAGGUCUAGUGCUCUCCACAUUUCCACUGCUGCCCAAGGACAAGACAUUGGGAUGUACGGAAUUUUCUGUCUCUACACCCAUCAUGUAAGCGAAGUCCCCUUCACACACACACUCACGCCGGACCCCGCACCGCACUACGCCACGCCAAAAGCGAAGAUAAUCUGCCACCUUCCUCCCUGUUUCAUGAUCUUCCUCUGAGAUUCUCUGUUUCUCUCUAGGCGAAAGCCAAGAAACAAGAGACAACUCUCAUGGCGGUCGAAGCUCCGUGUGUCGAUCCUUUUCACACCCAGAUCGCGAACAGGUACUCGUCAAUGGACAUUCGUGGAUGUCUUUUUAAUUUGAAUAUCAUCUGUUAUUUGGGGAAAGCUAAACAGUGGAGAGAAUGAGAGAGGCUUCUCCACCGCGCUCGGCCGCGUGGCCGAGUGUCUAUUGUUGAGUGGAGAAAAGAACUUUACUAACAUGAUGAUUUCUAUAAGAAUAAUAGCAUAUUCAAGCCACAAAUUAUUAAACAAAUGAACAUCACAAUGAUAUUUAAUUAUUUUUUUAAUAUAAAAUAAAUUAUUAUUCUCAUAAUAAAUUAAGAGCACUCACAUCUCUCUUGAAAGAAAAAAUAUGGUAUAUUAGCGAUGACACGUCAGUUUUACAUAAAUCCACUUCUUAAGCAACACGUGUCAUAUUUAGCCUCAUCCGUACUUUAAAACACCUCACCAUGUCUAUCUCCUCUCAUUUUCUUCAUUCAAUAUGUCAUGAGAAGGUCACGCUGGCAAAAAACGAAUCUCUCUCUCUCUCGUCCAUGUUGCUUCGACUUCAAUCCACCGAGCAAAAUUCCCUCAUGAUGGUUUUCUUAUAAUUUCGUCCUCCGUCAUCCCUACUCACCGACGAUCAGUCCAUAUUUGACUAUCGUCUCCAUCCGGUUAGGUUUUUGCUUUCCUCCAGUCUUUCCAUUUGCUGGAGGUCUCGAUAUCUUAUUCUCACCACGCAAUUUUGAUUUCUAGUUUUGCUCUAUCCGCGAUUAUCAACACGCUUUAGGGUUUUGCCCUAGGGGGCUUCCAUGGUGGAAACCAUGGCCAAGCUCUUGCUCUCGCUCUCUCAUCCUUAGGAGAAAAUAUUGCACAGCACGAGAGAGAGAAAGAGGACGUAGACAUGUUGAGGCGUUUCAUCUCUAGCGGGUGCGGUCAAAUAUGGCACGUGUCGCGAGUGAAUUGUGUAAAAAUGACUCGUCACUAUUAGGAUAUCCAAUAUUUUUUUGAACGGACCGGCGUCAAUAAUGACAUGGAGGGCCCGGUCUAUGCAAUAAUUUCUCCCAGGUUUAGUGCCCUCCACACACUUUCGCUACUGCCCAAGGAUAAGAUAUUUUUAAGGAAUCUCAUGGACUUUUCUUUGCUUGUUUCUGACGUCCACUAGAGUAGUCUAGAUUGAACUAGGAUCGCCAAUUUUCUACAGUAGCCUAUUACCAGAGUUUUGUUUUCCCUCAGCCAUAUCUCUGAUCAUUUUUUGGUUCUCGCUUUGCAUACGGAAAGGGAUGACGAACUCCGCCUUGAAAAAACUCGAGGGGAAAGUAGCCAUCGUAACCGGCGGUGCAAGCGGCAUCGGCAAGGAAACGGCUCGCCGUUUCUCCAGUCACGGUGCAAAAGUCGUGAUUGCUGACAUCCAAGAUGAAAAGGGCCGAGACCUCGUAGAAUCAAUCGGCUCCCACUGCUGCAUCUACAUUCACUGUGAUGUUGCGGAUGAGCAACAGGUGAUAUCCUUAGUACACUCGACCCUUCAACUGUAUGGUAAGCUUGAUAUCAUGUUCAGCAACGCUGGAGUGCUCGGUUCUGUUGAGCAAGACAUUCUUGAUUUCGACGUGUCGGCUUGCGAGCGCCUCUUCGCUGUAAAUGUCAAAGGUAUGGCCUCGUGUGUGAAGCACAGCGCCCGCGCAAUGGUGGAUAAGGACAUAAAGGGAAGCAUAAUUUGCACUGCGAGCAUCUUUGCGACCAUCGGGACCGACAAGUACAUAGACUAUACUAUGUCUAAGUAUGCGGUGCUGGGCUUGAUGAGGUCAGCUAGCAAGCAACUCGGAGCACAUGGGAUACGCGUGAACUGUGUGUCGCCAGGAGCAGUCGCGACACCAAUGCCCUGCAACACCUUCGGCCGGAAUGAAGAGGGGAUCGAGAGACUCUUCGAGUCGAGCUCGAGCUUAAAAGGGGUAUUGAAAGUGAAGCACGUGGCUGAUGCUGUGGUGUUCCUAGCUUCGGAAGAUUCCGAAUUCGUGAACGGCCACAACCUGGUCGUCGAUGGAGGGCUUAACACGCUUCAGUUGACUCCUCCAGCAGAAUAGGCUUCACGUUUCCCUGUAUGCCAUAUUUUCCGCUUCGGCACAAAGAAAUAUCACUGUAACUUGUGUUGAUAUAAUAGUUAUUUUCUUUUGCACGU